Molecule: non-coding RNA, 416 nt
Organism: Paramuricea clavata
Lineage: Eukaryota; Metazoa; Cnidaria; Anthozoa; Malacalcyonacea; Plexauridae
Source: the annotation of a GenBank genome assembly
CAACGGUCUUCGAGACAACAUAAAAGAAAAAUUUUCCGUACACGAAAAUGCCCGUGGUACAUUUUUCUCGGAUAAAUCGAAUCUUCCAAGUCCCGACGUUCAGAACCUGAAAAACGGAUGCUUUCUAUCCACAUCUGAUCCACUUUAAACCGGUGAGUGCGUUUCAUAUUGUCAUUAUACAUUAUAAGCGCGUUAUGUUAUCCACUGAAGUUGCUACGAACAGCAUAAACCUACCAAUGUUCGUCCAUGGUAGAACGUUUUUGGAGCCAUACUACGUGCGCAAUUCGAGUACAUCCCAUGAACUGUCUAGCUUUUCGUUACCCGCAUUUAGUUUACAAACAUAGUGGCUAUAUUGCGCGACUUUGCUCUGAGAGCAGUCACGAGGCAGUUAUGAAAACGCAGGUCUAAGCCCAUGC